AUGGCGUCCUCCAUGGAGGAGAAGUUGGAUAUGGCGCAUGAUUUCUAUCGAAAUCUGCUUGGUGUCCCAACUGCUAGGCACAAGAUCUUAAAGCUAGAAUGUCUAGGCCUUGGCAAGAUAUCUGCGGCAGCGGCGCGGGACUUGGAGGCUCCUUUUUCUAGAGAGGAGAUCAAGAAGGGGUGGUGUUCCUGGAUAUGCGGUCUUCUGAGCUCGGCGUCCUCAGCAGUACUCAUCAACGGCGAAACCAGCUCACCGUUCGCACUGGGGAAGGGAGUCAGGAAGGGAGACUCCCUGUCGCCGGCACUCUUCAUCCUCGUCAUCGACGCGCUGCAAGGCAUGAUUGAUUGGGCCUGGAGUAAUAACCUGCUGGCCAGCCUUGGACUGGAUAACAGGUUAAAGAGACAAGACAUACUCCCACUGAUCGACAGAUUCUCUAGCAAGAUGAAAGGUUGGAAACCCAAGCUGGUGGCCCCUACUGGAAGACUAGCUUUGACGAGUUCGGUGCUAAUGGCCCUACCGAUUCACUUUCUGUCGGUCUUCCCUCUACCGGUUUGCUCACUCAAGAUCAUUGACAGAAGAUGUAGAAGUUUUCUGUGGAAAGGAGAGGAGGACAUCCAUGGAGGGCAUUGUUUGGUUCCAUGGGCCAGAGUUUGCAGACCAAAAGAAUGGGGCGGGCCCGGCCUUCUCAAUUUGAAGAACUUUGGGACUGCACUUAGAUGCCGUUGGCUAUGGCUGGGCUGGAGUCCUGGGAAUCGACCAUGGCAACUGCUUCCUGACCAGCAGGACAAGGCUGCCUCUGCUAUGUUCGAUGCGGCAUGCCGGGUUGUGCUGGGGAAUGGUGCGACUGCAAGAUUCUGGACAGACAAUUGGGCUCCAGGGGGCAGGAGUAUCGCGGUUUUUGCCUCCGCGCUAUUUUCCUUCGUGAAAGACUCCAAGCUGUCAGUUAAAGAUGCGUUGCAUAAUUGUAGGUGGAUCAAGGACAUUAGAGGUGGCCUGACAACACAGGCCUUGGCGCAAUACUUAUUGCUAUGGACGGCGUUCCAGCAAUGGACGGUUGUUAGUUUCCCAGCGCCGGACAGUAGUUAUGGAAGCACCGAGGACUGGUGGUUGGAGGCGAGAAGGGCUAUUCCGAAGCAUGCGCGCCGGAACUUCGACACCAUUGUCAUCCUCAUACACUGGAGGGUCUGGAAGGAGCGGAACGCUAGAAUUUUUCAGCAAACCGCGUGUAAUAUUGAGCGAGUUUUAGACCUCAUCAGAGAGGACAUGGGAGUUCGGAGGUCUACAGGGUGUGUGUCCGACUUGGGGAGCUAG
This 1311-nucleotide ribosomal RNA is filed under the name Triticum aestivum (bread wheat). RNAcentral's name for it is "partial small subunit ribosomal RNA". Lineage: Eukaryota; Viridiplantae; Streptophyta; Magnoliopsida; Poales; Poaceae. The record is from RNAcentral.